Molecule: long non-coding RNA, 3119 nt
Organism: Triticum dicoccoides
Lineage: Eukaryota; Viridiplantae; Streptophyta; Magnoliopsida; Poales; Poaceae
Exons: 2
Source: RefSeq, a predicted model, not a curated record
UAUCUCUCUCCAGAAAAGAACGCCUUAUCUUAAUCCCCUUUCCUCGUCUCAACCCGGUGGUGGCGAAGAACCAGAUCGAGGGCCACAGCCGCCGCCGGUGUCGUAGCCCGGGGUGUCAAGGGAGAGGCGACGGACUGGAGGAACUAGGCGAGCCGGUCGGCGGGUAACCGGAGCAGCAGCGCCAUCGUCUCCUCCCCUCGUCUUUCUUCUAGCUGGAGCGGGGUCGGCCAGCUGCCGCAUCCUCGUCGAGGAAGGGGCCACGGAGCUCACGCCGGAGAGCGGCUUAGUGCUUAGGUAAGGCUUCAGCCGCGCCGUCGUGUGGUCUGCUGACACCAAGGGUUGGUCCAUCACCGUGAUUGGCCACCCGCCAUGGAUGUUCCUCUGCCUCGACCCUAGUGCCAUGGAACAAGUCAAGCACGCAUGGCAGCAGAUCGCUACAGCCAUCCUUCUCACCUGGGAAGGAGGAGAUCCAUCAGCAGCAGCCCAGGUUCGUCUCUCUUUUUCCUCAUCCCUGCUCACUUCCUCAACUCUCUGCUCAGGUUAUAUGUGUUGCUGCUAGAUCCUCAAGUGUGAGUUUAGCCUGCUAGAUGUGUAUACUAGUUUCAGUUUAUCUAGAAGAAGAGGGGAGUGAGGAGACCUGUUUCGUUCGUGUCUUGCUCAAUUAUGUACUAGUUUCUCCUCAAGUGUCCACAUGGGUUAGUUGGUUGGAUGGAUACAUAUAUCUAGCAAAAUGAACAUGAUUAAUUAUUGUCUACUGAUUAAGCCGAUUGAUGCAAGGUGUUCAUAUAUCUAUCUAUCUAUGUGUGACUACUUCUAGAAAAUGGAAUCAGUGUUUUUGCUUGGAGAUUGUACUGAUUUUUACGACCAGGAUUUUUUUUGUUUUUUUGCAUUCUAGCUGCCUCACUUUUUAGCAUGAGUUGCCUAGAGUUCCAAUUCCCCAACCCCCUUGCUUCUCCAUCUUCUCCAGCUUGUUCUAUCUAACCUGCUACGAACUCCUACAUGAUCUAGUCAAUUUUGGUCCUUUUUUAGUGCCUGCCACUAGUUGCUUCAAAUUUUUGCAUCAGUUGCUUGAAAUCACAGGCAAAGUUGUUGCAUUUUUUUUACUUUUGCACACGAGAUCAUGUGUUAUCAUUUUUGUUUAGAAGGAUCACGUUUGAGAGAACUUGGUGGGCAGAAUAAAUCAACAUAUACAAGUAUAAGUCUAUCAUAUGCUCUGCUCUGUCUCUUGAUUGAUGACAGCAUAAUUCAGUAGGAGUACCGUUUGUUCAUCCAAUUGAUAAUUCAUUCCUGAACUGCCACUGUUUUUGCAAGAUGAAUGAUGGGCUAGAUUCAGAGAUAAGUGGAUUUUGCCUACAUAUAGAAUUAGAUUGCCACUAUUUUUUUAUAAAAUGAAAUUAAUGUGCUCCAUGCAACUCAGGGGGUUUUGGUGUUGAUUUUGCAUGAGAUACAACUGAUUUCAAUGUCAUAAACUCAUUUUUUGUGCAACUUGUUGCUUCAAAGCAUGUGUAGUUGCUCAAGUUUAUAAUAUGGGUUGCCUGGAACUAAACGAAAGGUUGCUUUAAUUUUUACUAAAUCUAUAGGGCCUGGAAACAGGGGGGGGGGGUGCGGAUUUUGUACUCCACUGAGUGGCUUCUCUUGUGACGGCGUCACGCCUGAUAUGGGGAUCGAAGGGGGUUGGGCAGCAUUGGAUUUAGAAGGCACUUUCCACUCAAGGAUAGAAUGGUUACUUCGAUUUCGUUAAAAGAGUUGCAUUUUGUGUGUGUACCGCAGUUGCUUAGUUUUGUUGGGGCAGUUGCUCGGAUUCAUUUUUGUUGCAUUUUUGCCUCUUGUAAUGCAGUUGCUUGGUUUUCGUAGGACAGUUGCUUCCUUUUUACUAGAACAGUUUUGCAUUUUUGUGUUUUUUAAUCGAGUUGCUUGGAUUUUUGCUAGGCUAGAUGAGAAGUUGCAUGGGGAGGGGGGUCAGAUAGUUUUCCACAAAGGUUAUUCAAGUUUCUCACACGUUUUUUUCUCCCUAAAGUAGUAGAUAAUCUAAGUAGUAAUGCUAGGGACAGUUACCUGGUUUUGCUAGGACAAUUUCACACUUUUCUGUUUCGAGUUGCUUGGAUUGUUUGCUGUAAGUUUUUUAGAUUAUCAUCUCAGAUUUGAAUACGCAUACAGAUUGAGAAGAUACAUCUAUGAAGUAGUUCCUGAUGUCCUAUAACUGACGCGAUGAUUGAUUUGCAUGGCUAUCGUCCCGAUCCUCCUUCCGUCGACGCGCUCCGUGCGAAGCACACCACCGCCUAGGGCAGUUGCUUGAUUUUUCUAGGACAAUUGCUUGGUUUUGCUAGGGUAGUUGCUUGUUUUUCUUGCUAGAACAAUUUUUGCAUUUUGUGUCCUUUUGUAGUUGAGUUGUUUGGAUUUUUGCUAGAACCGAUGAGAAGUUAUAGUUGUCCACAAAGGUUAUUGAACUUACUCAUAUGUUUUUUUUGCCUAAAAUAGACAAUCUAUGUAGUAGUGCCAGGGACAUCUGCUUGUUUCUGCUACAACAGUUUCCCACUUUUUGCGUGUCUUUGUAAUUGAGUUGCUUUGAUCUUCUGCUACAACAUACGAGAAGGUGGAUGAGAGGGGAGUUGCUUGGUUUUGCUAGGACAUUCUUUUCAUAAAAGGUUAUUCAAGUUGCUCAUACAUUUUUUUCCUCUACCUAAAAUAGAUGCUAGGGGAGUUGUUUGGUUUUGCUAGGACAAUUGCUUGGUUUUGCUAGGGCAGUUGCUUGUUUUUUUGCUAGAACAAUUUUGCAUUUUUGUGUUUUUUAUAGAGUUACAAGCAAAAGGGCUGCUCAACCUGAUGCUUCACAGGGUGAAAUGCUGGAUCGACAUGAGGUACACAUGGUUUUUUCAGAUUUUUUUUGAUGAAACGAUGAAGAUGAAGAAGGAAAGCAACCGGAACGGGCGAAGAGAGGUGGAUAGGAAGUAAUUCUAAAAAAAAAUUGUAUUAGUAGAUUAAGUUGCAUCAGAAUAUAUAUGGAGCUUCUUGUGCAUAAAAAUGCCUGGAACACAUUUUUGCUUUUUUAAUAGUUGUCCAUGAAUCACACUAAAGUUGCCUAUGUUAGAGAAUAUAUAUGCAUUAAUGCCACCUAUAUA